This is a long non-coding RNA of Cervus elaphus (red deer), 533 nucleotides long. RefSeq lists it as uncharacterized. The record is from RefSeq and is a predicted model, not a curated record. The transcript has 3 exons. Lineage: Eukaryota; Metazoa; Chordata; Mammalia; Artiodactyla; Cervidae.
GCGGCCCGGGCGCUUUGUGGACGCGCUCGGCGCUCACCUAGGACUGUCACCGGCUCCUCCGGGGCCCGCGGGAGCGCUCCCGAAAGACCCCGCGGGUGUUGGUGACGGUGUCGGGAUCCCGGUCCCCACCGGCCCCGAGAACUACUCCUUCCCCGUGCCCCGCUCAGCGCGAAAGCUGCGGGAAGCUCCAAUCUAAGGCAACUGGUUGGUUUUUGGUUUUGAGCUUUUUUGUUUUUUAACUCAACUGCUUAACCCCCUAGCACUGCCCUUAUGUGAAUGAGACUGUAGACCUCUAAUUAUAAUUCUUGCUUAUUUCUCCUUUUUCAUUGUCAUUUCUGGAAUACGGCAGUUGAUUCCUUUCUACGUGGAGGUGUGUGUAAACAUGUAUACAUUCAUACAGUGCGCGCAUAAGUUGCUAUGAUCAAUAUUCAACUGUUUGUAGAGACUAUGACAUUCUAUGGUGACUAAUCUUCAAGUCACUAAGUCAUGUCCGACUCUUUCCGGACCACAUGGACUGUAGCCCUCGGGACUCC